RNAcentral lists this unclassified non-coding RNA (395 nucleotides) under soil metagenome. RNAcentral's name for it is "partial contains 5.8S ribosomal RNA, internal transcribed spacer 2, and large subunit ribosomal RNA". The stretch from base 1 to 122 matches the Rfam family "5.8S ribosomal RNA", at positions 35 to 154 of the family's 154-position model. The record is from RNAcentral.
GAUGAAGAACGUAGCGAAAUGCGAUACUUGGUGUGAAUUGCAGAAUCCCGUGAACCAUCGAGUCUUUGAACGCAAGUUGCGCCCGAAGCCAUCAGGUUGAGGGCACGUCUGCCUGGGCGUCACAUAUCGUUGCCCAAUGCCUAUUGCAGUGCAAUAGGAAUUUCUAGGGCGAAUGAUGGCUUCCCGUGAGCGUUGUUGCCUCGCGGUUGGUUGAAAAUCGAGUCCUUGGUAGGGUGUGCCAUGGUAGAUGGUGGUCGAGUUAGAACGAUACCGAUCAUGUGCAUGCUCCCCAAAAUAUGGCCUCUAUGACCCACACGCGUCUUUUGACGCUCAUGACGAGACCUCAGGUCAGGCGGGGCUACCCGCUGAAUUCAAGCAUAUCAAUAAGCGGAGGA